RNAcentral lists this ribosomal RNA (497 nucleotides) under uncultured bacterium. Its description in RNAcentral is "partial 16S ribosomal RNA". It matches the Rfam family "Bacterial small subunit ribosomal RNA", at positions 28 to 507 of the family's 1533-position model. The record is from RNAcentral.
GAUGAACGCUGGCGGCGUGCCUAAUACAUGCAAGUCGAGCGAACAGACGAGGAGCUUGCUCCUCUGACGUUAGCGGCGGACGGGUGAGUAACACGUGGAUAACCUACCUAUAAGACUGGGAUAACUUCGGGAAACCGGAGCUAAUACCGGAUAAUAUAUCGAACCGCAUGGUUCAAUAGUGAAAGACGGUUUUGCUGUCACUUAUAGAUGGAUCCGCGCCGGAUGAGCUAGUUGGUAAGGUAACGGCCUACCAAGGCGACGAUGCGUAGCCGACCUGAGAGGGUGAUCAGCCACACUGGAACUGAGACACGGUCCAGACUCCUACGGGAGGCAGCAGUAGGGAAUCUUCCGCAAUGGGCGAAAGCCUGACGGAGCAACGCCGCGUGAGUGAUGAAGGUCUUCGGAUCGUAAAACUCUGUUAUUAGGGAAGAACAAAUGUGUAAGUAACUAUGCACGUCUUGACGGUACCUAAUCAGAAAGCCACGGCUAACUACGUG